Molecule: long non-coding RNA, 231 nt
Organism: Bombina bombina (fire-bellied toad)
Lineage: Eukaryota; Metazoa; Chordata; Amphibia; Anura; Bombinatoridae
Exons: 3
Source: RefSeq, a predicted model, not a curated record
GUUGGGUAGCCAUUUUCACAAGCAGGGAAGGAGCUCUCAGGGUGAAAGCUGGUGCUUAAGUGAUGCUACCUCUUAAAAGUAUGGAUCUUCUUGACCAGGUCCACAAUGUUCAGUUCCGUAUUCGAAUAAUUUCUGGCCGCCAUCUAUUUGGUAACAACUUAAAACCAGUGGUGAAAGUCAUUGUGGGACACAAAGUGUACACCACGCACAUACGCAGAGGGAACAACCCAG